This 253-nucleotide ribosomal RNA is filed under the name uncultured bacterium. RNAcentral's name for it is "partial 16S ribosomal RNA". It matches the Rfam family "Bacterial small subunit ribosomal RNA", at positions 524 to 776 of the family's 1533-position model. The record is from RNAcentral.
UACAGAGGUGGCAAGCGUUGUUCGGAAUUACUGGGCGUAAAGGGAGCGCAGGCGGCUAAACCAGUCUGAAGUGCAAGCCCGGGGCUCAACCCCGGAAUCGCUUUGGAUACUGUUUGGCUUGAGUAUGUCAGAGGUGAGCGGAAUUCCAGGUGUAGCGGUGAAAUGCGUAGAUAUCUGGAGGAACAUCCGUGGCGAAGGCGGCUCACUGGGACAACACUGACGCUGAGGCUCGAAAGCGUGGGGAGCGAACGGG